Molecule: non-coding RNA, 2584 nt
Organism: Struthio camelus australis
Lineage: Eukaryota; Metazoa; Chordata; Aves; Struthioniformes; Struthionidae
Source: RefSeq, a predicted model, not a curated record
CUGAAACCCAGCUCCAUAUUUGAAGCUGGCUGGACUGAACCUAUGGGCCCUGCCACCUGCUCCUCCAUCGCAGGAGCCUGCUGGCAAGCAAGGUAGCCCGCAGGCCAGCGUGCAACUCCUGAGCGAAUACUGCAUCCUGCAGGCUUGUUGUGAUGGUUUCUCCAACGCUGCCCCUGGCCCGUUCACAGGCUAAGAUGUGUUGUGUGGUUUUGGGGUGCUGCCAAGCCAGCUGGGAUGUCGAAUGCAGCCGACUCAAGAGCAGGCGCCAACCAACCGUUGGCCAAAGACUCUUGCCCCUGACAGCUAGAGCUGAGGCACCAACCUCUUCUCGAGCCUGAGGCGGCUGAGAUGUUAAUGUCUGAUGCUGAUCCCCAAGGGGUCUUGGCAGUUGGGUUUACAACACAGCCUGGUAAAGACAUAGGCCCUUGGCCACGUGCUUGGAUGCAGAGCAUCUCAGCCAAGCGGCUUCUCCGGCCGGGGAAGGGCCAGGAUGGGCAGCGGCCACCUACGGAUCAGCACCCACAGGAGGCUUCAAAGCGCCGCAGAGGGCUGAAGGAGCGGUGAGAUGGAGACGAGCACUUCAGAAGCUCUUCCCACUCUGGGUUUUCUAAGGCAAAGGAGUCAUGCCUGUCCAUCCGCUGAGCGAUCCUCUCGGAGCUGGCUGCUUCUCCAGCCCUGCAGCGGUGCUGCAUAGAGUGCGGCCCUCCUCCAUCAUCUGCCUCAUCUCCUUGCCUUCCUCCCCAUGUGCUUUCUCACUCAUCUUUGGACUGUCGGGGAAGAGCUGCUGGGGCGUGCAACAAACCUCUCGGGGUUACGCCAGCUCUGCCGCCGGCCCUGCUGCCCACCAGAGCGGCUGGUACUGCUCCAGCCUCCUCGCGAGGGAGCAAAGCCCAUCACAAGGGGCACGUGCAAAACCUGUGCUCCGCAGCUCGGUGGCCUGAGGGCAGACUCCGUUUUCCUGGAAGAGCAACCGUCCUUGCAAACGAUCCCUUGAUUAGUGCAAGGUACGUUCUCCACCCCGCUGGGUAUCCAUCGCCGCGUGAAAGACUAGCUGCGAUGGCAGUGCACCAGGAGCGCUGCGUAAGCAAGGUGUCUGCUCAGCCCCCAGGUCUGCAGGAUCAGCCAGGGCCUGGAGCAGGCCAGAAAAGGCACAAAACAUGCUGCUUUAAGGCUCUACAAACAGGUUUUAAGGUCCCAAAGUGAGAAGGGAUGUGGAAAAGGCAGACUCUGUCUGCUGGGGCCUUGCCUAGCAAUAAUGGCACCGCAUGGUCCCCCGCUCCCAGGAAAUGUCUUUCUUGUGCUGUGCUGGCUUGCAUGGUAUCUAACCCUGCCCUCUUCUGGACACAGGCUGUCUGGCAAGGGGCGGCAUUUGGGAAAUGUCCUGAAUUUUAAAAUACCUUAGAGACAUGCAGAAUUAGCUAUUUGAGGGCUUCAGCUUAUGCAAGCCUGUUAGGGCCAGAGAAGCUGGGGGAAGAUGAUGAAAUCUAGGAGCAGAUUUAUAAUGUGAGUCGUGCUCCUUGUAAAAACAAGAAGCAAAUGUGUUAAUGCAACCCCAAGCAUGAGGAAGCCCUGAGACAGAGCAGAGCACGUGGAGGAGCCCUGCAGUUUUCUCGGGGGGCACUUGGUGGGCUAGCGAGGCUGGCUACGGGGGCAGGACGAGACCCGCUGAAACCUCUCUGGUGUGCCAGCGAUGCAGAGAUGUAAAUGGCCCCUUGCCUUGCUGCUGCCGUGAUGAAUUUUGCUUUUCCAACAGGGGCUGAGGAGUCCAAACACCCCGUGGAGGUCUGUUUUAUUUGCAGGACUUGCGGCCCAGAGGGCAGCCAGGGAGAAACCUCGAGAGGCCCCUCGUUGGCAGCUUUGUGCGCCCCAUCGGUUGUCACUGUGUCCCCCAAGCCGGUGCUGUGGGUAUCUGGCCAGCAUCAGCCAGACGCCUCAAGCGCACAGGGCUUGCGGAGCAGUGCCAAAGACUCAGCAGUGAAAUCCAACUUGAGAAUAGCAGGUUCCCCUGUAAAAAUAUGGCAAUGCUAGAAAGCAGAGUGGCUGAGCAGCCCGGGGCAAAGAGUUGACCUUUUUUUUCAGUGUAAGGCCGCAGCUCCCUUGAAGCAACUCCAACAGCAAGCGAUACAGGGACCCCAGCCACCUCCUAGCAGAUAGCCACGUUCCUCAGCUCUCGUGUCAGACUAAGGAGAUGAAUACAGGCAGCUGGCUUUAAUGCAAGGUGCUGAGCAUGUGCACUUGGGUGCAAGGCAAUGAGCAUAUGCAUUCAGGGCUGUGCUGUUGAUGGUGCCCCAGAUCACCUAUGCAUCUCACCAGUUUGUCCUGUUUGCGGUAGAGACUGGCAUACCUAGGCAAAAUGCAGAGGGCCUGUCUCCCCCACUGUCUUCCUCUUCUGCUUUGGCAGCGUUUUCCAGCCCUGCUGCCUGGGGAUGAAUGACUUCUGCCAGCACGGAGGUGCCGAGAGCUGCACGGGAGAGGGGCUAGGAAGGUACCUGCUGCUCCACCGUGCUUUGGCCCUACAGCUGGUUUUGCCUGGUGUUUCAUUUAUUUUUGAUGGUUGCUGCUGUUACCUAUAAAUAAAAUAGUG